RNAcentral lists this ribosomal RNA (522 nucleotides) under Colletotrichum siamense. RNAcentral's name for it is "eukaryotic LSU rRNA". The stretch from base 170 to 323 matches the Rfam family "5.8S ribosomal RNA". Lineage: Eukaryota; Fungi; Ascomycota; Sordariomycetes; Glomerellales; Glomerellaceae. The record is from RNAcentral.
AGUUACCGCUCUAUAACCCUUUGUGAACAUACCUAUAACUGUUGCUUCGGCGGGUAGGGUCCCCGUGACCCUCCCGGCCUCCCGCCCCCGGGCGGGUCGGCGCCCGCCGGAGGAUAACCAAACUCUGAUUUAACGACGUUUCUUCUGAGUGGUACAAGCAAAUAAUCAAAACUUUUAACAACGGAUCUCUUGGUUCUGGCAUCGAUGAAGAACGCAGCGAAAUGCGAUAAGUAAUGUGAAUUGCAGAAUUCAGUGAAUCAUCGAAUCUUUGAACGCACAUUGCGCCCGCCAGCAUUCUGGCGGGCAUGCCUGUUCGAGCGUCAUUUCAACCCUCAAGCUCUGCUUGGUGUUGGGGCCCUACAGCUGAUGUAGGCCCUCAAAGGUAGUGGCGGACCCUCCCGGAGCCUCCUUUGCGUAGUAACUUUACGUCUCGCACUGGGAUCCGGAGGGACUCUUGCCGUAAAACCCCCCAAUUUUCCAAAGGUUGACCUCGGAUCAGGUAGGAAUACCCGCUGAACUUAA